RNAcentral lists this ribosomal RNA (253 nucleotides) under uncultured bacterium. RNAcentral describes it as "partial 16S ribosomal RNA". It matches the Rfam family "Bacterial small subunit ribosomal RNA", at positions 524 to 776 of the family's 1533-position model. The record is from RNAcentral.
UACGUAGGGUGCGAGCGUUAAUCGGAAUUACUGGGCGUAAAGCGUGCGCAGGCGGUUUUGUAAGCCAGAUGUGAAAUCCCCGGGCUUAACCUGGGAAUGGCAUUUGGGACUGCAAGGCUUGAGUGCGGCAGAGGAGACUGGAAUUCCUGGUGUAGCGGUGAAAUGCGCAGAUAUCAGGAGGAACACCAAUGGCGAAGGCAGCUCGCUGGAACGGUACUGACGCUGAGGCGCGAAAGCGUGGGGAGCGAACAGG